AAGGAACCGAAGGGCGUGCCCUGGCCUCUUGCCAGGACGGGACGGCGACGAGAUUUGGGGAGUCUUUCGAGGAGCCGGUGAGAGACGAGGCGAUGACUGGAUGGCUGACGAGGAGAGGAGUCGAGGUCUUUUGGCAGCAGCUUAGCCGUGAAAGAGGCCAGAGAGCACCCGAGGGCGGUUUCCCAGGCAGCGGAAAGAGGAGGAGGACCAAGCCGAGCCCGGGGAAACCAAGCUUUCCUCCUGAAGUUUGGAUGCCUGCCCCUUGCACGUUGGUGCCCUUCCCCUUUCUUCCUACUGUCCCGGGAGUGGGCGCCCUCGCGCGCUUUCUGAUUCUGCAGCACUAAGCUCCUCGGAGACGGUGACAGCGUGGCAAACAGAAUCGGAAGCGUCCUUGGCCCACAGCCUGCGAUCCCACUGCUCUCCAGAGAAGUGACAUCCGUCCGCUUUAAGCUGGGUGACCACCUGCAGCGACACCCUUUUGAAAGCGUGAGCCAUAGCUAUUUCUUUGAAAGCUCCAGUAAAGCCGCAGAGAAACCUGUGACCUUUAGCACAAGGCCACUUCGUGCUAAGGAACCCACAGCGGGGGACCGGCUUUCCUGAAAGCGCCGUCGUCUCCUCUGCGGCUUGGGGAGCCUCUAGGGCUUGGACAGGCCUUGGAGCAGCCCGGCAGCACUCUUGGCGGGUGGCAGCAGCCAAGGUGUGCCCCUGGGCACGACGUCGCUCACGGCGUCUAAGAGAAGGUGCCCAGAC
RNAcentral lists this long non-coding RNA (750 nucleotides) under Equus asinus (donkey). RNAcentral's name for it is "lncRNA (ENSEASG00005031022.1)". The record is from RNAcentral. Lineage: Eukaryota; Metazoa; Chordata; Mammalia; Perissodactyla; Equidae.